Molecule: ribosomal RNA, 442 nt
Filed under: uncultured bacterium
Lineage: Bacteria
Description: partial 16S ribosomal RNA
Rfam family: Bacterial small subunit ribosomal RNA
Source: RNAcentral
CCUACGGGAGACAGCAGUGGGGAAUAUUGGGCAAUGGACGCAAGUCUGACCCAGCAACGCCGCGUGAAGGAAGAAGGCUUUCGGGUCGUAAACUUCUGUUAAGGGGGGAGAGCAGAAGAAGGUAGCCCUUGAAUAAGCCACGGCUAACUACGUGCCAGCAGCCGCGGUAAUACGUAGGUGGCAAGCGUUGUCCGGAUUUACUGGGUGUAAAGGGCGUGCAGCCGGAGAGACAAGUCAGAGGUGAAACCCACGGGCUCAACCCGUGAACUGCAUUUGAAACUGUAUGCCUGGAGAGUCGGAGAGGUAAUCGGAAUUCCUAGUGUAGCGGUGAAAUGCGUAGAUAUUAGGAAGAACACCAGUGGCGAAGGCGGAUUACUGGCCGAUAGCUGACGGUGAGGCGCGAAAGCGUGGGGAGCAAACAGGAUUAGAUACCCUUGUAGUC